AUCCAGCUGACUAGUCCCGAAAUUAGACGAAACGCGCGUCCUGCAU
Molecule: non-coding RNA, 46 nt
Filed under: Schistosoma mansoni
Lineage: Eukaryota; Metazoa; Platyhelminthes; Trematoda; Strigeidida; Schistosomatidae
Source: RNAcentral